Molecule: long non-coding RNA, 863 nt
Organism: Drosophila pseudoobscura
Lineage: Eukaryota; Metazoa; Arthropoda; Insecta; Diptera; Drosophilidae
Exons: 3
Source: RefSeq, a predicted model, not a curated record
GUGUUACACAAAUCAAAUGCUGCAGUGCAAAUGGAUACUUGAAGUCACCUCAACACUACUUUAUCUGUAACAGUUUCGGGAGAAUUGUGAAACGAGUCAGUCACUAUUAAAAAUAGAAAAAAGUUGAAGCCGCCGUGAAGUGCCGAGAAAGAAAAAAAAACCCGACCAGCCGCUAAGAAGACCCCAAAACCGACAGGGUCGGCCAACGAUGUUGAAGAUUGUGUAAUUUGUGUGGAGGCGAUGAAAAAUCCUUUCAAACUGACCUGCGGGCACUCCUUUUGUACGGAAUAUCUCCGAUGGGCGGUCAGAUUGAGAGCUGAAAAUGAAUAUGCAACCAUCUCGGUGAGAGCUGAAAAUGUAACUUGAAGCGUCUGUCCAUUGUGCCGUGCUAUACCCCGUGCUACACCCCGCUUCAUUUUGACGUUGAGCAACACUUUUAUAUACACACUUUUUAUAUUCAACACUUCGUAGCUUCGAGAAAAUUCUCAGAACAGCUGGCAAGUAAAUAGUUCGUUUUGCCGUGAUCUACUAAAAAAUAUGGCGACUAAUAAGAAGGACAAGCCAGCUGAAGCUGAGGAAGAAACUAAGACGGGCAGCGCUGAAGACUUUUGCUCGAUUUGCUAUGGUCCGAAAGUGGAUCCCUUUGCAUUGCCCUGCAAGCACACGUUCUGUAAUACUUGCAUAGAAUAUCUGGUUAAACAGAGGUCUUACUAUUUGGGUGAAAUUAUUCCUGAUCCAGUCAUGCGUUGUCCAGUGUGCCGCGAAAGGUUUCGCUCAAAAAAAGCUGUUGCCACUUCCCCCCAGCCAUAGUUCUGAACACAUAUACUCACAAAAGCCAAAUAAAUUUUGAUUAAUAAUUAUAA